UAGGGAAUCUUCGGCAAUGGACGAAAGUCUGACCGAGCAACGCCGCGUGAGUGAAGAAGGUUUUCGGAUCGUAAAACUCUGUUGGUAGAGAAGAACGUUGAUGAGAGUGGAAAGCUCAUCAAGUGACGGUAACUACCCAGAAAGGGACGGCUAACUACGUGCCAG
Molecule: ribosomal RNA, 165 nt
Filed under: uncultured bacterium
Lineage: Bacteria
Description: partial 16S rRNA
Rfam family: Bacterial small subunit ribosomal RNA
Source: RNAcentral